Molecule: ribosomal RNA, 253 nt
Filed under: uncultured bacterium
Lineage: Bacteria
Description: partial 16S ribosomal RNA
Rfam family: Bacterial small subunit ribosomal RNA
Source: RNAcentral
UACAGAGGGUGCAAGCGUUAAUCGGAAUUACUGGGCGUAAAGCGUGCGUAGACGGUUACAUAAGUCAGAUGUGAAAGCCCCGGGCUCAACCUGGGAAUUGCAUUUGAGACUGUGUAGCUAGGGUGCGGAAGAGGGAAGCGGAAUUUCCGGUGUAGCGGUGAAAUGCGUAGACAUCGGAAGGAACACCAGUGGCGAAAGCGGCUUCCUGGUCCAGCACCGACGUUCAGGCACGAAAGCGUGGGGAGCAAACAGG